This is an unclassified non-coding RNA of Chelonoidis abingdonii (Abingdon island giant tortoise), 160 nucleotides long. NCBI's taxonomy places the organism in Eukaryota, Metazoa, Chordata, Testudines, Testudinidae. The record is from Ensembl.
AUGACAGCAGUGAGGACUUAAGUCUUCUAUCCACAGAAAAGUACAGCAUGGGCAAGCUUCCCCACAUCGUCCCACCAAGGUGCCUCAACUCUGACCUGGAGGGACCACCUCUAGGGGUGAGAGUAGUUCAGCUUCCAUGCCCAAUCCAGUCCUCAAUGCU